Non-coding RNA from Populus trichocarpa (black cottonwood), 155 nucleotides. The record is from Rfam. NCBI's taxonomy places the organism in Eukaryota, Viridiplantae, Streptophyta, Magnoliopsida, Malpighiales, Salicaceae.
UCUAAAACUCGAGAUGUGGGUUAAACACUGAACAGUGUCUGGGCUGUAGGACAUAUUCCGACUUCUCUUUUGUUGCUACAAUUUAAACUUGAAAACGGUCUUUUUGAAUCUUGGACUCCCAUGAAAGUUUUAGGCCUAUGUCUUAGCUUUUUAUU